Molecule: ribosomal RNA, 256 nt
Filed under: uncultured Gardnerella sp.
Lineage: Bacteria; Bacillati; Actinomycetota; Actinomycetes; Bifidobacteriales; Bifidobacteriaceae
Description: partial 16S ribosomal RNA
Rfam family: Bacterial small subunit ribosomal RNA
Source: RNAcentral
CGAACGGGUGAGUAAUGCGUGACCAACCUGCCCCAUGCUCCAGAAUAGCUCUUGGAAACGGGUGGUAAUGCUGGAUGCUCCAACUUGACGCAUGUCUUGUUGGGAAAGUAUUUAGUGGCAUGGGAUGGGGUCGCGUCCUAUCAGCUUGUAGGCGGGGUAAUGGCCCACCUAGGCUUCGACGGGUAGCCGGCCUGAGAGGGCGGACGGCCACAUUGGGACUGAGAUACGGCCCAGACUCCUACGGGAGGCAGCAGGC